UGGGGAAUAUUGGACAAUGGGGGCAACCCUGAUCCAGCAAUGCCGCGUGUGUGAAGAAGGCCUGAGGGUUGUAAAGCACUUUCAGUGGGGAGGAGGUUUUGCAGGUUAAGAGCUAGCAAAAUGGACGUUACCCACAGAAGAAGCACCGGCUAACUCCGUGCCAGCAGCCGCGGUAAUACGGAGGGUGCGAGCGUUAAUCGGAAUUACUGGGCGUAAAGGGUGCGUAGGUGGUUUAUUAAGUUAUCUGUGAAAUCCCUGGGCUCAACCUGGGCAGGUCAGAUAAGACUGGUAGACUCGAGUAUGGGAGAGGGUAGUGGAAUUUCCGGUGUAGCGGUGAAAUGCGUAGAGAUCGGAAGGAACACCAGUGGCGAAGGCGGCUACCUGGCCCAAUACUGACACUGAGGCACGAAAGCGUGGGGAGCAAACAGG
This 429-nucleotide ribosomal RNA is filed under the name uncultured Legionellaceae bacterium. RNAcentral's name for it is "bacterial SSU rRNA". It matches the Rfam family "Bacterial small subunit ribosomal RNA", at positions 355 to 776 of the family's 1533-position model. The record is from RNAcentral. Lineage: Bacteria; Pseudomonadati; Pseudomonadota; Gammaproteobacteria; Legionellales; Legionellaceae.